UGGUAUCCCUAUUGUAACGAAUAUUUUUUCCUUUCGGACCUCGUAGGUUGGUCUCCAUUUCAUCGUAAUUUAUCUUGCUCGGUCCAAUGGACGGAUGUCGUAGACUUCAAUAAAAAUUUUAUUUUAUUAAUUAUUUUAUUUCAAAAUUUAUUUCAUUCUAUUUUUUUAUUUUUGAUUGGUGUUGGAAAAAGAUGGAAGAGCAGUAAAUUUUUUGUUAAAAAAAGUGACAUGGUUAUUUGUUUCAAUCAUGCUCACAAAAUCCAGCAUGCCCCU
This 273-nucleotide long non-coding RNA is filed under the name Elaeis guineensis (African oil palm). RNAcentral describes it as "long non-coding RNA (EGUI_LNC005841)". The record is from RNAcentral. Lineage: Eukaryota; Viridiplantae; Streptophyta; Magnoliopsida; Arecales; Arecaceae.